RNAcentral lists this ribosomal RNA (253 nucleotides) under uncultured bacterium. Its description in RNAcentral is "partial 16S ribosomal RNA". It matches the Rfam family "Bacterial small subunit ribosomal RNA", at positions 524 to 776 of the family's 1533-position model. The record is from RNAcentral.
UACAGGGGGGGCAAGCGUUGUUCGGAAUUACUGGGCGUAAAGGGCUCGUAGGCGGCCAACUAAGUCACACGUGAAAUCCCCAGGCUCAACCUGGGAACUGCGUGUGAUACUGGAUGGCUUGAAUUCGGGAGAGGGAUGCAGAAUUCCAGGUGUAGCGGUGAAAUGCGUAGAUAUCUGGAGGAAUACCGGUGGCGAAGGCGGGUCUCUGGGCCGAUACUGACGCUGAGGAGCGAAAGCGUGGGGAGCGAACAGG